GAUGAACGCUGGCGGUAUGCUUAACACAUGCAAGUCGAACGGUCUUUUAGGAGACAGUGGCGGACGGGGUGAGUAACGCGUAAGAAUCUACCUUCAGGUUGGGGACAACCACUGGAAACGGUGGCUAAUACCGAAUGUGCCGAGAGGUGAAAGGCUUGCUGCCUGAAGAAGAGCUUGCGUCUGAUUAGCUAGUUGGUAGUGUAAGNGACUACCAAGGCGACGAUCAGUAGCUGGUCUGAGAGGAUGAUCAGCCACACUGGGACUGAGACACGGCCCAGACUCCUACGGGAGGCAGCAGUGGGGAAUUUUCCGGCAAUGGGCGAAAGCCUGACGGAGCAAUACCGCGUGAGUGAUGAAGGCCU
RNAcentral lists this ribosomal RNA (362 nucleotides) under uncultured bacterium. RNAcentral describes it as "bacterial SSU rRNA". It matches the Rfam family "Bacterial small subunit ribosomal RNA", at positions 28 to 417 of the family's 1533-position model. The record is from RNAcentral.